This 1310-nucleotide ribosomal RNA is filed under the name Paenarthrobacter nicotinovorans. Its description in RNAcentral is "bacterial SSU rRNA". It matches the Rfam family "Bacterial small subunit ribosomal RNA", at positions 118 to 1441 of the family's 1533-position model. Lineage: Bacteria; Bacillati; Actinomycetota; Actinomycetes; Micrococcales; Micrococcaceae. The record is from RNAcentral.
UGAGUAACCUGCCCUUGACUCUGGGAUAAGCCUGGGAAACUGGGUCUAAUACCGGAUAUGACUCCUCAUCGCAUGGUGGGGGGUGGAAAGCUUUUGUGGUUUUGGAUGGACUCGCGGCCUAUCAGCUUGUUGGUGGGGUAAUGGCCUACCAAGGCGACGACGGGUAGCCGGCCUGAGAGGGUGACCGGCCACACUGGGACUGAGACACGGCCCAGACUCCUACGGGAGGCAGCAGUGGGGAAUAUUGCACAAUGGGCGCAAGCCUGAUGCAGCGACGCCGCGUGAGGGAUGACGGCCUUCGGGUUGUAAACCUCUUUCAGUAGGGAAGAAGCGUAAGUGACGGUACCUGCAGAAGAAGCGCCGGCUAACUACGUGCCAGCAGCCGCGGUAAUACGUAGGGCGCAAGCGUUAUCCGGAAUUAUUGGGCGUAAAGAGCUCGUAGGCGGUUUGUCGCGUCUGCUGUGAAAGACCGGGGCUCAACUCCGGUUCUGCAGUGGGUACGGGCAGACUAGAGUGCAGUAGGGGAGACUGGAAUUCCUGGUGUAGCGGUGAAAUGCGCAGAUAUCAGGAGGAACACCGAUGGCGAAGGCAGGUCUCUGGGCUGUAACUGACGCUGAGGAGCGAAAGCAUGGGGAGCGAACAGGAUUAGAUACCCUGGUAGUCCAUGCCGUAAACGUUGGGCACUAGGUGUGGGGGACAUUCCACGUUUUCCGCGCCGUAGCUAACGCAUUAAGUGCCCCGCCUGGGGAGUACGGCCGCAAGGCUAAAACUCAAAGGAAUUGACGGGGGCCCGCACAAGCGGCGGAGCAUGCGGAUUAAUUCGAUGCAACGCGAAGAACCUUACCAAGGCUUGACAUGAACCGGAAAGACCUGGAAACAGGUGCCCCGCUUGCGGUCGGUUUACAGGUGGUGCAUGGUUGUCGUCAGCUCGUGUCGUGAGAUGUUGGGUUAAGUCCCGCAACGAGCGCAACCCUCGUUCUAUGUUGCCAGCGGUUCGGCCGGGGACUCAUAGGAGACUGCCGGGGUCAACUCGGAGGAAGGUGGGGACGACGUCAAAUCAUCAUGCCCCUUAUGUCUUGGGCUUCACGCAUGCUACAAUGGCCGGUACAAAGGGUUGCGAUACUGUGAGGUGGAGCUAAUCCCAAAAAGCCGGUCUCAGUUCGGAUUGGGGUCUGCAACUCGACCCCAUGAAGUCGGAGUCGCUAGUAAUCGCAGAUCAGCAACGCUGCGGUGAAUACGUUCCCGGGCCUUGUACACACCGCCCGUCAAGUCACGAAAGUUGGUAACACCCGAAGCCGGUGGCCUAACCC